UUUAUUUUGUUCUUUGGGUUUCUUGGUGCAGGCGUGAAAUGGCUUAUCCAGAUUUUAAGUGAUUUAAUAUUUACAACUAUUCAGAGUAUGCCUGUAAGUGCAGAACUACAGUUUAUUGAAUAUGGAGAUCCAGGCAAAUAUCAGUUGGCUGGGGAUCCUGUUUUGAUCAUGGAGUCACCUGGAACAAACACAUUGAGGAUGAGAAUACUAUGGUCAUAAUAUGAAGACCUGAAAGAGAACCUGACUGCCAGUGUAAAGCAGAUAGCUGAAUUCUUUGGAUUCUCCCCAAUAACUGAACAGGUCCAGGCCAUUGCAGAAAGGGACACUUUGCAGGCAGU
Molecule: long non-coding RNA, 338 nt
Filed under: Manacus vitellinus (golden-collared manakin)
Lineage: Eukaryota; Metazoa; Chordata; Aves; Passeriformes; Pipridae
Description: lncRNA (ENSMVIG00005007585.1)
Source: RNAcentral